UACGAAGGGGGCUAGCGUUGUUCGGAAUUACUGGGCGUAAGGCGCACGUAGGCGGAUUUGUAAGUCAGGGGUGAAAUCCCGGGGCUCAACCUCGGAACUGCCUUUGAUACUGCAAGUCUCGAGUCCGAUAGAGGUGAGUGGAAUUCCUAGUGUAGAGGUGAAAUUCGUAGAUAUUAGGAAGAACACCAGUGGCGAAGGCGGCUCACUGGAUCGGUACUGACGCUGAGGUGCGAAAGCGUGGGGAGCAAACAGG
Molecule: ribosomal RNA, 253 nt
Filed under: uncultured bacterium
Lineage: Bacteria
Description: partial 16S ribosomal RNA
Rfam family: Bacterial small subunit ribosomal RNA
Source: RNAcentral